Molecule: long non-coding RNA, 878 nt
Filed under: Fukomys damarensis (Damara mole-rat)
Lineage: Eukaryota; Metazoa; Chordata; Mammalia; Rodentia; Bathyergidae
Description: lncRNA (ENSFDAG00000028658.1)
Source: RNAcentral
UGCACAUCUAAUGGAAUGGGGCAGAGCUUUGUGGGAAGUUCAGAAGAGGUGCACUGUGGGACUUAGGGCACCUUUUAACAACAUGUGUCCAUCCGGAUCAGCCAGGCGAGUUCAUCUACUGCAAGUCCUCCAUGCCACAGGCUUACCAUGGAAACACAGGUUGCCACCCAUGAUGUUCUUCGGGUGCCCUGGUGAGGACAGAAUAACCGCAAGCCUGGCAGUGAAGUGGCUUUGGGAUGGAAGAGAGGAAAAGCCUCUCCUGCCCUAAAAUCAGAACCAUGAGCUCCCACAGACCCUAGGAGGCGGGAACCUCUGUCUUGUGCAGAAAGCUGCUGUGAGCUGCCUGAAGGGUGCGAUGGGACAGCGAAGGGAAGAAUGAGGACCCAUACCCAUCUCCCAUUUACCCACUGGCAGGACAAUGCCACCCGCCAUCACCAUCCUGGGCCCAGAGACAGCAGCAAUGACACCCCACACUCGAGAGAAAUGAGCCAAAUGAGUGCACUGAAUGACUGAAUGAACAGUGCUUUCUGUCCCUACAAUGGCUGCCUUGCUGUUAUGGAUAGAACAUUUGCAUCUCCCCCAGAUUCAUCCUUAUCCACCCAUGGGAUGGGACCAGGAGGGGGAGCCUUUGAGGGUAAGUGAGUCACAAGGAUUUUAGCCCCAGGAAAGGGAUUAAUGCCCCUGCAGCAAGUGGCCUGGAGCUCCUGCUAUACCAGGCCUCCCAGGGGCCAGGUGCCUUCUUGGGGAGUGAGUUCGUCCUACUGGGUCCUGGUGACCAACCAGACCUGGGAAGGACAGCAGCACAGCCAUCACAACCAUCCAUCAUAGCAGUGGGCAGGACCUCGGCCUAGGGCCAAAGCGCGGCACAGAGACGGCAC